RNAcentral lists this ribosomal RNA (116 nucleotides) under Sinocyclocheilus rhinocerous. The record is from RNAcentral. Lineage: Eukaryota; Metazoa; Chordata; Actinopteri; Cypriniformes; Cyprinidae.
UUCGGCAGCCAUACCACCCUGUAGCCCAAGACUGGUUGCCCACUGAAGCUAAGUAGGGCUGAGCCUGGUCAGUACCUGGAUGGGAGACCUCCUGAGAAAACUAGAAAAUGGAGGGU